Molecule: small nucleolar RNA, 227 nt
Organism: Ictalurus punctatus (channel catfish)
Lineage: Eukaryota; Metazoa; Chordata; Actinopteri; Siluriformes; Ictaluridae
Gene: U3
Rfam family: Small nucleolar RNA U3
About the family: Small nucleolar RNAs (snoRNAs) are involved in the processing and modification of rRNA in the nucleolus. There are two main classes of snoRNAs: the box C/D class, and the box H/ACA class. U3 snoRNA is a member of the box C/D class.
Source: Ensembl
AAGAUUAUACUUUCAGGGAUCAUUUUAUAGUAUCUUACUAGGAAAUGUGAUUUGAAAGCGUUACGUCUUUCUAAUCAUCAUCAUCAUCAUGAUGAUGAUGAAUUUUGAUGUAUUCUUUUUAGCGUGAAUCGGAUUUUGGCUAAUGAUUCGUUCAUGGGUUUUAAUCAUUGAUGAACGUUCUUCAUCUUUUCAGAAGCAUGAGAGGAAGACUAUAGGAUUCGACUGAU